Molecule: long non-coding RNA, 354 nt
Organism: Hirundo rustica (Barn swallow)
Lineage: Eukaryota; Metazoa; Chordata; Aves; Passeriformes; Hirundinidae
Exons: 3
Source: RefSeq, a predicted model, not a curated record
CUGGCUCUCGCCUCAGCCUUCUGCUGUGCCCCCAGAGCCACCUCUGGUCUCUCCGGCAGGCUCCGGGAUAUUGUGCCACGGUCAGAGAUGACCAGAUCCAUGGUAGUGGCUGCCUGGCAGUGGCAAGGAGGCGAGAGGAGCAAAAAGACGAGGAACUGAAGUCACAGCCUCUCCUCCAGUACCAGAAUAAAACCCACAGCUGGACACAGCCUAUGCAUAGUAACAGAAACCCAGAGCAGACUGCCUGGAGAGCUGCUGCUCCUUGAACCUUGACAGCACGAGCUCAGCAUCGUGAGGAGCCGCUCAGCAGCAGCUGGAAUUCAGCACACGCCGCCCUCGCUACGGAGCUCCCAU